Molecule: non-coding RNA, 45 nt
Organism: Schistosoma mattheei
Lineage: Eukaryota; Metazoa; Platyhelminthes; Trematoda; Strigeidida; Schistosomatidae
Source: Rfam
GUCCAACUGAAGACUCCCAAAUAGAACGAAACCCGCGUCCUGGAU